This 468-nucleotide ribosomal RNA is filed under the name uncultured bacterium. RNAcentral describes it as "partial 16S ribosomal RNA". It matches the Rfam family "Bacterial small subunit ribosomal RNA", at positions 28 to 507 of the family's 1533-position model. The record is from RNAcentral.
GACGAACGCUGGCGGCGUGCUUAACACAUGCAAGUCGAACGGACAGGCGCUGCGUUUGUGGCGCGCUCGAUUGGCGAACGGGUGAGUAAAACGUGAGUAACACGCCCUUAUAUGUGGGAUAACUUCAGGAAACUGGGGCUAAUACCGGGUAGGAGCUCCUGCUGCAUGGGGGGGAUUGGAAAGUGUCGGCUGUUGGGGAUGGAAUAGCGGCUUAUCAGCUUGAUGGUGGGGUAGUGAAUUACCAAGGCUUCGAAGGGUAGCCGGCCUGAGAGGGUGAACGGCCACCUUGGGACUGAGAUACGGCGCAGACUCCUACGGGAGGCAGCAGUGGGGAAUAUUGCACAGUGGGCGGGAGUCUGAGGCAGCGACGUCGCGUGCGUGAUGACGGCCUUCGGGGUGUAAACCGCUUUCGCCUGUGACGAAGCGUGAGUGACGGUAAUGGGUAAAGAAGCACCGGCUAACUACGUG